Molecule: small nucleolar RNA, 107 nt
Organism: Hibiscus syriacus
Lineage: Eukaryota; Viridiplantae; Streptophyta; Magnoliopsida; Malvales; Malvaceae
Source: RefSeq, a predicted model, not a curated record
AUUUAGUAUGCGUACUUGCUGUAAAUAUGGACAAACAGAAAACCAUGCAGUCUUUAGGUGGGUAUUCUGUGAGUUUUUGAUUGCCCAUAAAGGACCUGCAAACAUCU